Non-coding RNA from Dermacentor andersoni, 676 nucleotides. The record is from RefSeq and is a predicted model, not a curated record. Lineage: Eukaryota; Metazoa; Arthropoda; Arachnida; Ixodida; Ixodidae.
UACUCUGAGCAGCAACUUGUGUACAUGAUGCGCAUUGCACACACUGCUCGCAAUGUCUGAACACUACUCUGAUUGCAGGACGAGGCAAGUUCAGAGGAAGCUGCAGGGCCCAGCGGUUCCCGCAGAAAUCUACCAGCGACAACUGCUUUCGUGGUGUCGGGCCCUGCAGCUGUUGCUGGGCCAAGUGGCCUUACACAGCCACCGGCUACGCCCCAGGUGCUGCGGCCUACGCCCCAGGUGCUGCGGCCUACCCCCCAGGUGCUGCGGCCUACCACCCAGGUGCCGCGGCCUACCACCCAGGUGCCGCAGCCAACCCCGCAGGUGCCGCAGCCAACCCCGCAGGUGCCGCAGCCAACCCCGCAGGUGCCGCAGCCAACCCCGCAGGUGCCGCAGCCAACCCCGCAGGUGCCGCAGCCAACCCCGCAGGUGCCGCAGCCAACCCCGCAGGUGCCACAGCCUACCCCCCAGGUGCCGCAGCCUACCCCUCGAGAGCCACGGGCACCCCGUAGACAGCCCAGGCAGCAGGAACUUGAUGGUGCUGUGAUGACGGCUACUGCCGCAUACGUUCGCCAGAGCCAGUUGGAGGAAGCCAGAGUUCAAGAGGACACUCGCUUCCGCCAACAACUGCUGGAACAAAACCGGCAGCACCACGAGGCCCACCUGCAGAGCCUGCGGC